GGAGGUGUAGCCUAAUUGGUAAGGCAGCAGUCUUGAAAACUGCCGGGUUUACGCCCUUGUAGGUUCGAGUCCUAUCACCUCCG
Molecule: transfer RNA, 83 nt
Filed under: Calditrichota bacterium
Lineage: Bacteria; Pseudomonadati; Calditrichota
Description: Calditrichaeota bacterium tRNA-Ser
Rfam family: tRNA
About the family: Transfer RNA (tRNA) molecules are approximately 80 nucleotides in length. Their secondary structure includes four short double-helical elements and three loops (D, anti-codon, and T loops).
Source: RNAcentral